GCGGUGAAAUGCGUAGAUAUUGGGAGGAACACCAGUGGCGAAGGCGGCUCACUGGACUGGUACUGACGCUGAUGCGCGAAAGCGUGGGGAGCAAACGGGAUUAGAUACCCCGGUAGUCCACGCCGUAAACGAUGAGUGCUUGGUGUAGCGGGUAUCGACCCCUGCUGUGCCGAAGUCAACACAUUAAGCACUCCGCCUGGGGAGUACGGUCGCAAGGCUGAAACUUAAAUGAAUUGACGG
Molecule: ribosomal RNA, 240 nt
Filed under: uncultured bacterium
Lineage: Bacteria
Description: partial 16S ribosomal RNA
Rfam family: Bacterial small subunit ribosomal RNA
Source: RNAcentral